Molecule: small nucleolar RNA, 66 nt
Organism: Haliotis rufescens (red abalone)
Lineage: Eukaryota; Metazoa; Mollusca; Gastropoda; Lepetellida; Haliotidae
Product: small nucleolar RNA SNORD34
Exons: 1
Source: RefSeq, a predicted model, not a curated record
CAUUUCCAGUGAUGACUUUACCUACAUUGUCUGAAACCUGAAGACAAACACAAAACUGAGGAAAUG